Non-coding RNA from Chitinophaga ginsengisegetis, 40 nucleotides. NCBI's taxonomy places the organism in Bacteria, Pseudomonadati, Bacteroidota, Chitinophagia, Chitinophagales, Chitinophagaceae. The record is from Rfam.
AACAGGGCUGCCGAAAACUGUGCAUUAAAAAGAGUAGGCG